Molecule: long non-coding RNA, 418 nt
Organism: Jatropha curcas
Lineage: Eukaryota; Viridiplantae; Streptophyta; Magnoliopsida; Malpighiales; Euphorbiaceae
Source: RefSeq, a predicted model, not a curated record
GAAAAACAACCUAAAUCUACCCAAGAUCCAUGUGAACCCAUCCCUACUUCCUUUCUUUCUUUCUUUCUUUCUUUGUUUCUUUCUUUUCCAUUCUUUCUUUCUUCUCCACGAUGCUCUCUCUCUCCUUGUUACCGAUAGUUCACUUUGGCCGGAAAAGGAGAUGCAUCGGUGAUAGUUCAAGCCUUUACCACUCUAUUUUCUCUCUCUACUCACCGUUGUUGAGCUUCGUAACUUCCUACAGUGGAGUUGCAUAUUUUUGGUAUUGUUUUCCGGUGAGCCAAACAAUUUCCGACAGCAAGCUUCAAAUAGAUUACAUAGGUAUUUUCUCAACUCCUCCAUAGUAAGGAUCUCAAUGAAGCUGUAUUCUCACCACAGGCAGUGAGUAAUAAUACAUAAUAUUUUACCAAAUUCAUGAAUA